Molecule: long non-coding RNA, 943 nt
Filed under: Olea europaea subsp. europaea
Lineage: Eukaryota; Viridiplantae; Streptophyta; Magnoliopsida; Lamiales; Oleaceae
Source: RNAcentral
CGUUGACAAAACAUUUUGUUCAAGAACAAAGGCAAAAAAUUACAUGCGCAAAUUUUGGACCCGAAUGAAUAAUUUCUGUGAAAGACGUAUUCCGAUUAGAAAUUAUUAAUUGUAUUUUCUGUCAACCCAACUGAAAAUCACUUCGACCGAGCCUCAAUUUGGGUUAUAAAUUCAGCUCUUGUUCGAAUUGAAUCCAUCAAGGCUGAAAAAAGAUGUUAAUGUUGCAGUCUCCUGUGAAUAUCGAUUUCAUCUACUUCAUUCUAUUAUCAAUCUCUCUUUUUGUUGUUCAGUUUUCUCCUCCUGUAUCAGCUAUCAGGUACAAGAAAAUAAAAGAUCAAAUCCGUGUUUUAUUUCUAAUUUUCAUUAGACUGUAUUAUAACUUUGCGACAAGAUUUAUUUCCGGCGUGUUAGUUUGAUAAAUAUUUGAGUUCUUUUUUUUUUUAUUUCCGUUUCUGGAUUAACGUUCCUAAUUUCAUAUGCAAUUCUAAAUUGAUAGUCUAGUAUUUUGUUUGGGAGUUUCUUGAAUUUCUUUUUUUCUAUACAUCAGCCCAUUAUUUAUCUUUUAUUCCUAAUGCAAUCGUAUACACGUUUCUUGUUUUCUUAUGGAAGAUUUUGUUUUUUUUUCUUUUUCUGCUCCCCCCCCCCCCCCCCCCCCGGGUUUUGGAUUGUCAAAUUUAGUGUCAGUACGCUUGAUUUUGUAUUUUACGCAUUCUAGUAUGAAUGACAGGAAGGAUGUGAGCAUGCAAACAAAAUAUAAUUGCAGGACCACUGUUCAAGGGAGGUUCUUGCUCACUGACGAUAACGGUUUGUAAUUUCUCGAAAUUAAAAUUUUGAUGUUUCUGACCGAAAAUUAUGAGAUUUUAGUCGGGUAUAUAGCCAGCUAAUUACUAGUGGUUGUACACCAUAAUAUACAUGGCUAAUGAUAGAAUUAAUUAGAGCCACG